Molecule: microRNA precursor, 205 nt
Organism: Oryza sativa Japonica Group (Japanese rice)
Lineage: Eukaryota; Viridiplantae; Streptophyta; Magnoliopsida; Poales; Poaceae
Rfam family: MIR812 microRNA precursor family
Source: Rfam
AAAAAGACAAACCCUGGUUUCCGUGCCCAACAUUUGACCGUCCGUCUUAUUUGAAAAAAUUAUGAAAAAAAUUAAAAAGACAAGUCACGCAUAAAAUAUUAAUCAUGUUUUAUCAUCUAACAACAAUGAAAAUACGAAUUAUAAAAAAAUUUCAUAUAAGACGGACAGUCAAAGUUGGACACGCAAACCCAGGGUUUGUCUUUUU